CGGCGGACGGGUGAGUAACGCGUGGGUAACCUGCCUCGUACAGGGGAGUAACAGUUGGAAACGGCUGCUAAUACCGCAUAAGCGCACAGUACCGCAUGGUACCGUGUGAAAAACUCCGGUGGUAUGAGAUGGACCCGCGUCUGAUUAGCUAGUUGGUGGGGUAACGGCCUACCAAGGCGACGAUCAGUAGCCGACCUGAGAGGGUGACCGGCCACAUUGGGACUGAGACACGGCCCAA
Molecule: ribosomal RNA, 238 nt
Filed under: uncultured bacterium
Lineage: Bacteria
Description: partial 16S ribosomal RNA
Rfam family: Bacterial small subunit ribosomal RNA
Source: RNAcentral